Molecule: transfer RNA, 68 nt
Filed under: Niviventer cremoriventer (dark-tailed tree rat)
Lineage: Eukaryota; Metazoa; Chordata; Mammalia; Rodentia; Muridae
Description: tRNA-His
Rfam family: tRNA
About the family: Transfer RNA (tRNA) molecules are approximately 80 nucleotides in length. Their secondary structure includes four short double-helical elements and three loops (D, anti-codon, and T loops).
Source: RNAcentral
GUAGGUAUAGUUUACAAAAAACAUUAGACUGUGAAUCUAACGACAAGAGAUAAAACUCUUUAUUUACC